UGCAAGUCGUACGAGAAAGCUUCCUUCGGGGAGCGAGUAAAGUGGCGCAAGGGUGAGUAUCACGUGAGUAAUCUGCCCUAAGGACUGGGAUAACCCACCGAAAGGUGAGCUAAUACCGGAUAGAAAUGCGGAGCAUAAGCUUUCGUAUUUAAAGGUGGCCUCUAUUUAUAAGCUAUCGCCUUUGGAUGAGCUCGCGGGCCAUUAGCUUGUUGGCGGGGUAACGGCCCACCAAGGCUACGAUGGCUAGCCGGUUUGAGAGGAUGAUCAGCCACACUGGAACUGAGACACGGUCCAGACUCCUACGGGAGGCAGCAGUGAGGAAUAUUGCGCAAUGGGGGAAACCCUGACGCAGCAACGCCGCGUGGAGGAUGAAGGUUUUCGGACUGUAAACUCCUGUCGGGCGGGAAGAAUCCCCGGUCAGCCAAUACCUGGCCGGGUUGACGGUACCGCCAAAGGAAGCCCCGGCUAACUCUGUGCCAGCAGCCGCGGUAAUACAGGGGGGGCAAGCGUUGUUCGGAAUCAUUGGGCGUAAAGGGCGUGUAGGCGGUCGAUUAAGUCAGAAGUGAAAUCCCCCGGCUCAACCGGGGAACUGCUUUUGAAACUGGUUGACUUGAGUUCGGCAGAGGAAAGCGGAAUUCCCAGUGUAGCGGUGAAAUGCGUAGAUAUUGGGAAGAACACCAGA
Molecule: ribosomal RNA, 682 nt
Filed under: uncultured bacterium
Lineage: Bacteria
Description: bacterial SSU rRNA
Rfam family: Bacterial small subunit ribosomal RNA
Source: RNAcentral